This 177-nucleotide unclassified non-coding RNA is filed under the name uncultured Pyrenochaeta. RNAcentral describes it as "sequence contains ITS1". The record is from RNAcentral. Lineage: Eukaryota; Fungi; Ascomycota; Dothideomycetes; Pleosporales; Pleosporaceae.
AUUGUAUAACGGGGGCCGGCGAGGGAUUGCGCACUUCGGUGCGCCUUUCUUCCCCGCCCUGUCUGAUACUACCCAUGUCUUUUGCGUACCAAUUGUUUCCUCGGUGGGCUUGCCCGCCGGUUGGACACUAUAAAACCUUUUGUAAUUGCAGUCAGCGUCAGAAAAACAUAAUAAUUA